This is a long non-coding RNA of Arachis stenosperma, 567 nucleotides long. RefSeq lists it as uncharacterized. NCBI's taxonomy places the organism in Eukaryota, Viridiplantae, Streptophyta, Magnoliopsida, Fabales, Fabaceae. The transcript has 3 exons. The record is from RefSeq and is a predicted model, not a curated record.
AGUUCAAAAUAUGGACAUUGUAAAUCUUCUUGUAAAAGUGUCUAUAAAUAUGGAGUGCUCCUAGUUGAUUAUUAAUUCGAUUAUAUAUACAUAUUUCUACUCUUUUAAUUAAGAUGGCUGGGUUGAUGAAGAAGCUCUCUGCUAUUUUCUUUAACCUUGCUCUUCUUUUCGUGGUUCUCUCCUUAAUACAAGUGGCAGCAGCAAGGGUACCCAAUUGGUCAUUGGAGCAUCAUCAUCGUCAUGGCAGAGCACUGUACCAAGAUUACCCAGAUGACGGCCAUUACCAUCAUCAACCCGGACAAGGACAGGUUCCUUGAUUACAGUUGUGGACAGUUGGAACUUUGGAUGAUUAUGUUACAGAUAUCAAUUGAUGGAUAAAGCUCAAAAGGCGGAAGGGUCAUAAGAUCUUAUCUUAUUAAGAUGCUAUAAGUGUGAUAUAAAGAUUUUACGUUGUUUUUGUUUAUCUUUUUUGUACUUUAUUUUGUUAGUUGUUCUUUUUUUCUCCGCAUAUUUUGAUGUGUUGAAAUUUAUAUUCUUUAAAUAAAAAAUAAUGAAUACUGUAUUUUA